This 75-nucleotide transfer RNA is filed under the name Merluccius polli (Benguela hake). RNAcentral's name for it is "tRNA-Asp". It matches the Rfam family "tRNA". From Rfam's summary of the family: Transfer RNA (tRNA) molecules are approximately 80 nucleotides in length. Their secondary structure includes four short double-helical elements and three loops (D, anti-codon, and T loops). The record is from RNAcentral. Lineage: Eukaryota; Metazoa; Chordata; Actinopteri; Gadiformes; Merlucciidae.
UCCUCGUUAGUAUAGUGGUCAGUAUCCCCGCCUGUCAUGCGGGAGACCGGGGUUCAAUUCCCCGACGGGGAGCCA